UGGAGCGAGGUGGCGGGCAGUGGUAAGAAGGAAAGGGACAGUCGGGUCGCGCGAGGAGGUGACUCCUGGCCUGACCUUCUCCUUGCCCCACCCCCGCUCUCAGUGGGAGGAGUUAAAGCUCCGGGUUGAGAGAGAAGCUCCGGAUCUUCGUCUGAGACAAGUCCACCAUUUUGCAGGAAAAUGGAUAAACAUAUUGUGACAUAGCUAUACAAUGGAAUACUACUCAUCAACCAAAAGGAAUGAGCUAUGGAUCCAUACAAAACAUGGAUGAGUCUUGAAAAUCUUAUAUUGAGCAAAAGAAGCCAGAUGCAAUGGAAUAUAUACUGCAUAAUUCCACUCUGUGAAGUUCAACAGGCAAACUAAGCUGUACUACUGAAGAGUGACCAGUGAGGUCCUCCUCUCUUCACACAUUUCUCAAGAGCAGACCUGUCUGUGAGGGCCACAUGUCUGAAGCCCUCGCCUUCACCACACAUGUAAAAGCUGAAGGAUUCCAUGAAAAGAAGAUUUUGUGUCAAAAAUAGACUUUCAAGGAACAAAGGAAAAGCUAUUUCCUGAACUGGGCAUAGGGGAGCAAUUCCUGGAAAGAUAAAUACUUGAAAACCUACUUUGAAUUUCGAAGGGCUGAGAAGGACUCCAGGUAAUAACAAUCUGCCUCUGCCUCAGUGGUCCAGGAGAAUUUCACUGCCCCUCAUUUGCCUUCAGUCCACCUCCUCCCACUGCAGAACCUCUGAAACCACUUUACAGACAAUCUCAGUUUCUACAGAAAAGAGAACAUGAAAUGACUUUCAGAUGCUCAACUGGUUAGAAUGUCAGAGGUGGCUGCUUGGAAAAGAAUGCAGAACAAAACAAAACUGAAAGCCCUAAGGAAGAAUUUCUAUAAAGCAAAUAUUUGUCUGUAACUGCUCACAGCAACCUGCAAUAAAGGCAUCUCCAAAAACAAAA
Molecule: non-coding RNA, 942 nt
Organism: Vicugna pacos (alpaca)
Lineage: Eukaryota; Metazoa; Chordata; Mammalia; Artiodactyla; Camelidae
Source: RefSeq, a predicted model, not a curated record